RNAcentral lists this small nucleolar RNA (104 nucleotides) under Callithrix jacchus (white-tufted-ear marmoset). RNAcentral describes it as "Small nucleolar RNA U13 (ENSCJAG00000072423.1)". It matches the Rfam family "Small nucleolar RNA U13". The record is from Rfam by way of RNAcentral. Lineage: Eukaryota; Metazoa; Chordata; Mammalia; Primates; Cebidae.
AUCCUUUUGUGGUUGGUAAGCAUGGUAACUAGGUUUUCAUACUCACCUGUGAAAUGUGCCUCCUUCCAGGCUUGUUACCAUGUAGGCAUAUUACCCAUCUGAUG